Molecule: ribosomal RNA, 468 nt
Filed under: uncultured bacterium
Lineage: Bacteria
Description: partial 16S ribosomal RNA
Rfam family: Bacterial small subunit ribosomal RNA
Source: RNAcentral
GACGAACGCUGGCGGCGUGCUUAACACAUGCAAGUCGAACGGAAAGGCCCUGCUUUUGUGGGGUGCUCGAGUGGCGAACGGGUGAGUAACACGUGAGUAACCUGCCCUUGACUUUGGGAUAACUUCAGGAAACUGGGGCUAAUACCGGAUAGGAGCUCCUGCUGCAUGGUGGGGGGUGGAAAGUUUCGGCGGUUGGGGAUGGACUCGCGGCUUAUCAGCUUGUGGGUGGGGUAGUGGCUUACCAAGGCUUUGACGGGUAGCCGGCCUGAGAGGGUGACCGGGCACAUUGGGACUGAGAUACGGCCCAGACUCCGACGGGUGGCAGCAGUGGGGAAGAUUGCACAAUGGGCGGAAGCCUGAUGCAGCAACGCCGCGUGCGGGAUGACGGCCUUCGGGUUGUAAACCGCUUUCGCCUGUGACGAAGCGUGAGUGACGGUAAUGGGUAAAGAAGCACCGGCUAACUACGUG